GGCCCCUUAGCUCAGUGGUUAGAGCAGGCGACUCAUAAUCGCUUGGUCGUUGGUUCAAAACCCAACAGGGGCCACCA
This 77-nucleotide transfer RNA is filed under the name Klebsiella pneumoniae. RNAcentral describes it as "tRNA-Met(cat)". It matches the Rfam family "tRNA". Rfam says of the family: Transfer RNA (tRNA) molecules are approximately 80 nucleotides in length. Their secondary structure includes four short double-helical elements and three loops (D, anti-codon, and T loops). Further hydrogen bonds mediate the characteristic L-shaped molecular structure. tRNAs have two regions of fundamental functional importance: the anti-codon, which is responsible for specific mRNA codon recognition, and the 3' end, to which the tRNAs corresponding amino acid is attached (by aminoacyl-tRNA synthetases). tRNAs cope with the degeneracy of the genetic code in two manners: having more than one tRNA (with a specific anti-codon) for a particular amino acid; and 'wobble' base-pairing, i.e. permitting non-standard base-pairing at the 3rd anti-codon position. Lineage: Bacteria; Pseudomonadati; Pseudomonadota; Gammaproteobacteria; Enterobacterales; Enterobacteriaceae. The record is from RNAcentral.